Non-coding RNA from Microcebus murinus (gray mouse lemur), 5371 nucleotides. The record is from RefSeq and is a predicted model, not a curated record. NCBI's taxonomy places the organism in Eukaryota, Metazoa, Chordata, Mammalia, Primates, Cheirogaleidae.
AGUAUGUACUACAAAGGAAACAAAGAGAAUAACAAGCUAUAGAGCCAUGGAGAGUAUUUAAGUAGUAUGGCCAAAGAAGGGCUCUUUGAAGGUGUGAUGUUUGAGCUGUGAUUUGGAGCAGGAGGAGGAGCCAGCCAUGUGAAUUUCCCUUCCAAAAGGGAUAUGACUUUGAAGGAUGUCCUUUGAUGGAUGGAGCUACAGCAGCUAUUUUAAACCAAAAGGUCUGGGUGAAGUCUGAGACUCUGCUUUUCGAACAAGAUCCCAGGCUAAGUUAAUGCUGCUGGACCACCGAGCACUCUGAGCUGCAAACCUUUGAAAGACCUCAAUCAAGUGCUUCAUAUCUGCGGAUGCCUCAUAAAGAACCAUGUUCUGUUAAAGAGGAGCUCACAGAGCAGCAGAACAGAGAGCAAUAAACAAACAGCUAUAAUAAAAAUUGAUACUUGUUACUGUAGAAAUAUGGAUGCAAUGAUAUGGAGAUGCAGGAAUAAAUGCCACCAGUUUCCUGGCCCGAAUUAGCUUAGGAACACUGAGUUGAGAGUUCAUCACAUGGCAGAACCUUCUUGUCCCCAACUGAUGGAAGGGAGUUAGAAACUCAUGCCUACCCCAAGAGGACUUUCUAGUAAUUGGGCUGAGAAGAAGAAAGCUGCCGUGAAUCAAUCCUACAGACAUAAGGAAUACAUUCUGUCAGCAACCUGAAUGAACUUGGAAGUGGAUUCUUCCCCAGUCAAGCCUCCAGAUGAGAAUGCAGUCCAGCUGAAACCUCAAUUGCAGCCUGUGAGACCUGGAUCAGAGGCGCCAGUUAAGCUGUGCCUGAACUUCUUCUGCCUCAUAGAAAUACAAGAAAAUUGAGGUUCGGAUGUCCCUGUGAACAUCUCUGAUCAAUGGGAUUUGAAUAUAUCUUUCUGCUGCUAGUUUUCAAGCUGUCAUCCUGCACCAUAGAGUUUUGAAUUUGGCCAGUCUUUUAUAGAACACCAGAUACAAACAGAGUAAAUAUAUUAUUUUCUACAGAGCAAGAAAAUAACGAAGUAUUAGCUUAUAUUUUUAGACACUUUCAACUGUUGGGCCAGAUUGUGGAGAAUGGGGAAAUGACAAAUAUCAUAUUUCUGUUCCAAAAAGGACAAUAAACCAUGUAAGUAGUUCUCCUUAGGUUAGUGUACAAAGCAGGUGUGGGGGAAAAUAUGAGAAACAACCUUCUGGGUUCCAGUGAGGAAACACUUCAAAAAAUAUCAUUCGAUUAAGAGACAGCCUGCAUGAUUCAAUGAGGAGGCGGAGGUAUUGCCUUGGAAAAGCGUCAGAUAAAGAAAUACUAAAUGCCUGUAGAAGUGUCGUGGGUAUGGGGGCUAAAAACAGCUUGUGGAAUGGCAAACUUUCUGAAAAACAUGGCAACAGCAAGUGUCCAUAAAUGGCAACUUCAUUCUCUGUGGAUGAGUGGGAAACAGCAGAGGAUAAUUUUUAGAUUGCUUGUUUUUUUACGUUGGUGGAGUGAAGUGAUGCCAUUGGAAAUAUUAAGAAGGAUGAAAAUGUGUUGGUGACGAAAGCACACUUAUGAAAAUAGAAUAGCACCAAGACGUGGUAACCUGAUGGAGAUCAUUCGAUGACUAAAUAGAGAACAUUGUUGAUACCUGAAAAAUAGUGCUGUUAGCCAAUUGACCAGAAUAGUCUCCAUUUCCUCUGCAGCACACGGUGUAAAAUAGCAUUCUCCACAUCAAGAGCCCUUUUGGCAUUUCCUUCAUUAUCUUCAUAGAAAAGAAAAUCUCAGUUAACAAGAUAUCUGAAUAUUGGGAGAGUCUGGACAAUUAUAUUUCUAAUUAUUUAAUUGUGUAUCUAGCUUAUUAGAGCCUUCUAUCUGACAUACUUUGCCACUUAUCUUCAGGAGACAGAGUCUGAUGAUCACAAAAUAUAUUGUCUUAGGGUUCUUAGGUUAGCUUCCAGAAUAGGUUUUUGCCUCAACCUGCAGUCAUAUCAAUCUCUUUCAGCUUCUAUAGCCACCUUUAUUAUUCCUUGAAUGUUACAUGGACAGAGUCUUUACCUUAAUCAUCUUUAAGUUAUACACAUCUACCAUAAAACCUGCUACACUGUAAUUGCCCAAUGAAAAUCUAUUGAAUAUACAUAAAGGAGUAAAAGAGUCUUUAUUAAUCCAAAGAAAUCAUGCAGUACAGCAAGAUUUUCAAGCAUCCAUGAGACAAACAGAAAAGGAAAUUUGGACUUUUGUGAAAUAAGAUAAACAAUUAAAUAAUGCUUGGCUGCAUUUAAUAUAUAUUAAAAUAUAAUAAAGAUACUAUCAAAUUCAAGUGUAGACAUCAUUUUUUUGGAUUUUUUUCAGUACUUGCUUGGUUCUAAUGGUAAGAACCCAUUGUCUUGGAUUAUUAGGAUGGAAUCAAAUAUUUCUGCUAUUUUUCAAAAAAAUAAGAUAAAACAAGCAAUCUUUUAGCAAAGGGAAUGGCCCAGGGAAACUUUUUGAAGUCUGGGCAUGUUUUGGUGGAUACAGUUAUUUGGGAAUUUGAAAUUAAUAUCUAAUUGAGAAACAUUGCAAAAGUUUUAUUUUAUCAUGAGAUCAUAAUCACACCUACACAACACAAUAAACCCAAAUGAAUAGGGCCCUUUGUAAAAUUUCACCACAAGCUUCUAUCAAAUAAUGCUCAUUGGAUACCACCUGCUCUAUGAAAGACACUCUGGAAAGCACUGGGUGAGAGUAGGGAGAAGAAUACAAAAAUCAGAGCCCAGAAUACAGUCAAGGUGGAUACUAAAACAUUUCACAUGUGGCUAGAAUGGAAUGUUGACUAAAGUAGAUGCUCUAAGAGAAGAUCCAAAAAUUCAGUUGGAAUUCAAAAGCAGAGGAAAUCACAUCUAAUUGAAGGGAUAUCAGGCAUGACUUUCUGGAGAUUAUAUUCAAGUUGAGCUUCUUGGUUGGCUAAUAUUUUAACAGGUGAAAAGUAGGUGAAAUGUCCAGAUGUAAAGAACAUAGUGAGUACAAAUAGGCCUCAAAAGACUUCAAGGUAUCCAUGGAGAAUAGCUUAUGGUUCAGUUUGGCCAAAGUGGUUAGUUUUCAAACUUUGGUUAUAGUAAAACUCCUUUUAUUUCUUCUCCAAAUGAAAGAUUACGCUGAACUCCAAAAUAUAACAUAAAUCAAAAUAACCAAGCUGCUCUAGUUGAAGGGCACGUGGGGGUGAAUGUGUGUGUGUGCGCGUGUGUGCAUAUGUAUGUAUGUGAUAGAGAGAAGACAACCUGAGGGGGAAUGUAUUAAUGUCCUACGGCUGUCAUAAAAAAUUAUCACAAACUUGGUAGCUUAAAACAAGAGAAAGUUAUCCUCUCACAGUACUGGAGGCUUGACAUACAAAAUCAGGGUGCUGGAAGGGCGAGGCUCUCUCUGAAGCCUCUAGAGAAGAACCUUUCUUUGCUUUCUCCAGCUUCUGGUGGCCAGCAAUUUUUGGUGCUCCUUGGCUUGUGGCAACAUGACUCCAAUCUCUGCCUCCAUUUUCACAUGGCGUUACUCCUGUGUCUCUCUGGGUCUCUACAUCCAAAUCUACAUUUCCUCCUUUCAUUAAGACAUUAGUUAUAUUGGAUUUGGAACCCAUCCUAAUCCAAUACAAUCCCAUCUUAACAAAUUAUAUCUGCAAAGACUCUAUUUCCGAGUAAGGUCACAUUUACAGGAACCUAGGGUUAGAACUCAAUAUCUCUUUUGGGGAGACCCAGUUCAACCCAUGACAGGGGGAUUUUUGAGAUUCUGAGCUCCCCUCACUGCAACUUCUCCUCUCCCCUAAUGUGACCAUUGAGGCACCUCAGCUGAGCCUUAGAACUGCUCACCCAGGACACAGAAAACCACUGGGCUAGUGCCAUCUUCCCACAUUACCUGAUCAGGAGAACAAACUAAGGUCUUAUAUACAGAACCCUGGAGCUCCACCCUAACCUACUGAGUCAGAAUCUUGGAGUCUGUAUUUCUAUCAAGUGUCACAGGGCAGUCUUAUGAUUGAUUCAUCAAGUUCAUAAUAAAUGCUAAGCUAGAGCAGAGAUCCAUUUUGAAAAACAGAUUGAAAAGGCAGAUUAUUGAGGAUCUUGAUAUCAGGCCGAGGAACAGUAUCUUCAAGGAGAGUUUGUGGUGAAUGUCUUCCUAGUGCUCAUGAAAUCACACUGCAUUCAGGUCUGCCCCUACAUUAAUACAUGGGACAAGUCCCAAGAACAAGUUUACAGGGGUUCCUCCUCACCAGGGAGGCAGCUCUGGUGUCUUUGGGUUCCAAGGCUCCCCAUCCUAUGGGAGGGCUCCAGGUCACAGGGGUGAGGGCAGCCCGUGUGCAGGGUGACCUGCAAGGCAGUGGGCCCGGGCAGGCCCUGCAGGCAAGGUUGCUGCAGGCCUCCUUUUGCUGGCUGAGGAAGAGAUGCCUGCCACAGCAGCUGCCUUGUGUUUCCUCAUUAGGGCUGCCUCCACCUUGAGCACACGUGUGGGAGCGAGCGAGGGAAGCCAGCCUAGGAGGAGAGUUGCCGGGCCUAAUGGGCGGAUGGGCCGCAGGGGAGGGAAGGCAUGCUGUCGGUGACUCAGAGUCAGCAAGAGGUGGAUUUCGCCAGCAGGAAGUUGGAUUCAGGAGGCACUGCCGGGUACUUUUCCAUUCUUCCCUCCCCACCACCAGACCUCUCCCCACACCCCUCCCCACCUUGAUCCUGUGGUUCAGGAUGCCAAAAUGUGCAGGCCAAACCCAGCUUGUUUCCUAGAGCUGCACAAACUGUUUGGACUGACUUGAGCUGGUCAAAAUAAAACAACCAAAGAACCUGUCAAAAUCCAAUGAAUAAUGUACAACCCUGCUUUAGUGCAGGUGGUUGUUUUGACUGAUGGAUUAGACCAGGUGUUUGUGACCAACAACCACUCACUAUUUCCUACCAUCAGUAAUAACCUGCUCCAAUCAGGAAAAGGGAAAUAAAAAUGUAUGAGUGAUGCUCUUUAAAAAUAUAAGUCGUGUCACCAAAAUCUCACAGCAAAUCUUGGAGGACGCUAUCCCAUAUUAUAGAUGAGGGAGCAGAGGCUUGGGGAACUCUCCCUUUCUCCUAUACAGUCAGUAAGUUGCAGAGCUGUAAUUUAUAUCCCACUCUGUCUGACUCUAAAGCUCACAAAUGCCCAAAUCAUCCAGGCUCCCUCCCAAACAGGUCCUUCACAGCACUGACUCUGCUGUGCCUCCUCCUGUACCCAUCUAAGCUCAGAUUCUUUUUUCUCACUUAUAAUGGCUUCUCCUUUCUUCUUCACCUCUCUCUGUUUUAGCUGCUCUCCAGAGCUCUGCAGUAAGUGAGCAGACUUAACGUCUGGAAUCAGGUGGUGAAAAUUCUAUUGUCACCCUGAUAGUGGGAAUCGAACAAGUUGUUUAAUUUCUCUGUCUUUCUUAUUAAU